CCUACGGGAGGCAGCAGUGGGGAAUUUUGGACAAUGGGCGCAAGCCUGAUCCAGCAAUGCCGCGUGCAGGAUGAAGGCCUUCGGGUUGUAAACUGCUUUUGUACGGAACGAAAAAGUCUGCCCUAAUACGGCGGGCCCAUGACGGUACCGUAAGAAUAAGCACCGGCUAACUACGUGCCAGCAGCCGCGGUAAUACGUAGGGUGCGAGCGUUAAUCGGAAUUACUGGGCGUAAAGCGUGCGCAGGCGGUUAUAUAAGUCAGAUGUGAAAUCCCCGGGCUCAACCUGGGACCUGCAUUUGAGACUGUAUAGCUAGAGUACGGUAGAGGGGGAUGGAAUUCCGCGUGUAGCAGUGAAAUGCGUAGAUAUGCGGAGGAACACCGAUGGCGAAGGCAAUCCCCCUGGACCUGUACUGACGCUCAUGCACGAAAGCGUGGGGAGCAAACAGGAUUAGAUACCCUGGUAGUCCACGCCCUAAACGAUGUCAACUGGUUGUUGGGUCUUCACUGACUCAGUAACGAAGCUAACGCGUGAAGUUGACCGCCUGGGGAGUACGGCCGCAAGGUUGAAAACUCAAAGGAAUUGACGG
This 587-nucleotide ribosomal RNA is filed under the name uncultured bacterium. RNAcentral describes it as "bacterial SSU rRNA". It matches the Rfam family "Bacterial small subunit ribosomal RNA", at positions 338 to 916 of the family's 1533-position model. The record is from RNAcentral.